GUGGGGAAUCUUGCGCAAUGGGCGAAAGCCUGACGCAGCCAUGCCGCGUGAAUGAUGAAGGUCUUAGGAUUGUAAAAUUCUUUCACCGGGGACGAUAAUGACGGUACCCGGAGAAGAAGCCCCGGCUAACUUCGUGCCAGCAGCCGCGGUAAUACGAAGGGGGCUAGCGUUGCUCGGAAUUACUGGGCGUAAAGGGCGCGUAGGCGGACAGCUUAGUCAGAGGUGAAAGCCCAGGGCUCAACCUUGGAAUUGCCUUUGAUACUGGCUGUCUUGAGUUUGGGAGAGGUGAGUGGAACGCCGAGUGUAGAGGUGAAAUUCGUAGAUAUUCGGAAGAACACCAGUGGCGAAGGCGACUCACUGGCCCAAUACUGACGCUGAGGCGCGAAAGCGUGGGGAGCAAACAGGAUUAGAAACCCCUGUAGUCC
Molecule: ribosomal RNA, 425 nt
Filed under: uncultured bacterium
Lineage: Bacteria
Description: partial 16S ribosomal RNA
Rfam family: Bacterial small subunit ribosomal RNA
Source: RNAcentral